GUUCGUUCUCCAUUAAAAGAACUGUCCAACAUCACUGUUGAAGGAUGUGCGGAUGCAAGGCAAUGUAAACGGGAAAGGGAAAGAGCACGAUACGCGGCGAUGAGUGAUGAAACAAAAAAUGAAUUGAAGAAACGUCGUGCGUCACGCAACAAAGAAAAUGUUGUACACCAUGAGUAUUCAAAAGUGUUAGAUCCAAAGGAACGUAAGAGAAUCCGAGAAAGAGCUCGAUGUGCAACUCAAACUAAGGAACAAAGGACGUUGCGUAAUAUGAAACCAUGUCAAAAGAGAGCAAGGGAAAACUAUAGAAUAAGAC
RNAcentral lists this unclassified non-coding RNA (313 nucleotides) under Zea mays. RNAcentral describes it as "misc RNA Zm00001eb245140". Lineage: Eukaryota; Viridiplantae; Streptophyta; Magnoliopsida; Poales; Poaceae. The record is from RNAcentral.